GAUGAACGCUGGCGGCGUGCCUAAUACAUGCAAGUCGAGCGAACGGACGAGAAGCUUGCUUCUCUGAUGUUAGCGGCGGACGGGUGAGUAACACGUGGAUAACCUACCUAUAAGACUGGGAUAACUUCGGGAAACCGGAGCUAAUACCGGAUAAUAUUUUGAACCGCAUGGUUCAAAAGUGAAAGACGGUCUUGCUGUCACUUAUAGAUGGAUCCGCGCUGCAUUAGCUAGUUGGUAAGGUAACGGCUUACCAAGGCAACGAUGCAUAGCCGACCUGAGAGGGGGAUCGGCCAACCGGGACAUGAGACACGGCCCCGACCCCUACGGGAGGCAGCAGUAGGGACUCUUCCGAAAGGGGCGAAAGCCUGAGGGGGCAACGCCGGGGGAGGGAUGAAGGUCUUCGGAUCGUAAAACUCUUUUUUUAGGGAAAAAAAUAUGUGUAAGUAACUGUGCACAUCUUGACGGUACCAAAACAAAAAGCCACGGCUAACUACGU
Molecule: ribosomal RNA, 496 nt
Filed under: uncultured bacterium
Lineage: Bacteria
Description: partial 16S ribosomal RNA
Rfam family: Bacterial small subunit ribosomal RNA
Source: RNAcentral